RNAcentral lists this ribosomal RNA (254 nucleotides) under uncultured bacterium. Its description in RNAcentral is "partial 16S ribosomal RNA". It matches the Rfam family "Bacterial small subunit ribosomal RNA", at positions 524 to 776 of the family's 1533-position model. The record is from RNAcentral.
UACGGGGGGAGCAAGCGUUGUUCGGAUUUACUGGGCGUAAAGGGCGCGUAGGCGGCCUCCGCAAGUCGACUGUGAAAUCUCCGGGCUUAACCCGGAAAGGUCAGCCGAUACUGCGGGGCUAGAGUGCAGAAGGGGCAACUGGAAUUCUCGGUGUAGCGGUGAAAUGCGUAGAUAUCGGAAGGAACAUCAGUGGCGAAAGCGACUUCCUGGACCAAUACUGACGCUCAUGUGCGAAAGCGUGGGGAGCAAACAGG